GCAGGCUGNAACCCGCCUGCAUGAAGCUGGAAUCGCUAGUAAUCGCGGAUCAGAAUGCCGCGGUGAAUACGUUCCCGGGUCUUGUACACACCGCCCGUCACACCAUGGGAGUCGGUAACGCCCGAAGUCAGUGACCCAACCUUAAGGAGGGAACUGCCGAAGGCGGGACUGGUAACUGGGGUGAAGUCGUAACAAGGUAGC
This 201-nucleotide ribosomal RNA is filed under the name uncultured bacterium. RNAcentral describes it as "partial 16S ribosomal RNA". It matches the Rfam family "Bacterial small subunit ribosomal RNA", at positions 1300 to 1500 of the family's 1533-position model. The record is from RNAcentral.